This 19965-nucleotide long non-coding RNA is filed under the name Gossypium barbadense (sea-island cotton). RNAcentral describes it as "long non-coding RNA (GBAR_LNC021991)". The record is from RNAcentral. Lineage: Eukaryota; Viridiplantae; Streptophyta; Magnoliopsida; Malvales; Malvaceae.
GCCGUACGUCUACUUUACACUUUUAUAGAUCGUUUUAAGGGUAUUUAUGUUUUUUAAAUAUUUUGAGAUUUAAACUCAAAAUAUUUUAAUCUUUAUUAUCUCAAUUUUAUCAUUUCAAUCAAUGACAUAUUUAUUUUUUAUGUCACUUUUUAUGUUAAUUUUUAUAAAUUUGUUAUGUAAAUUUUUUCAUCCAUAUCUGGAUGUAUUAUAAUUUAGUAUAUAUACACACGCAUAUUCAUGCAUGCUUUAGUAUAUAUACACACGCAUAUUCAUGCAUGCUAUCUGAUGACGAUUAUGAGCUGUGUUGAACUUCAGGAUGGCCAACUUAUGUGUUCUUCAUUACCGACUUAUGGGGAAGGAGAAGAACCUGGAAACGAAGCUGGUUACAUUGUAGGAAUGACCACCUGCUAUCCUAAACCCGGAACUGUGGAGAUAUCUAAAGGGGAGACUUUGAUUUUGGAGUCCAAUUACAGUAGAAUCAGGCAUCAUACUGGUGUCAUGGGGCUGUUCUACAUUUUGGUUGCAGACGAGUUGCCCAAGCCAAUGCACGCCUUGCACACUGUUGUUCAAGUAAGUUUCCGACUCUCAAAUAGUAAAAUUGAUGAAGAAAAUUCAUUAACCCAACCAGAUGGUAACUCAUUAUUCACAAAUAUAUUCUUUUACUAAUGUUAACUUCGAUUAAACCAAUGAUGUUUUAAUAUCAUCUGAUGCAGACACAGGACAGUAUUAUGGUGGUAACAAUCCUCUGGGCUGCGGUAGCUUUGAUCGGUGUGGUAGCUGUUAUCGCUGUUGCGGUUCAUUAUCGACUUAAACGCGAGGGUGAAGAUGGCUAUGAAGCAAUUGGGAUGUGAAUGUGCUGUUAUGAGCUCUACUCUGUAUUGCAUCUUAGAGUUCCAGCAAUUUUGUUGUCAAAAUAGUGAUAUGUAUAACACAUAUAUAUUAGUAACUUUUGAACGUUACGUUCAUAUGGAAGACGCCAUUUUUGUAGAUACUUUUGAAAGAUAUAGAUCAUGGUUAAGGUGUUUCAGUGGUCCAAAAUACGAUCUGGCAAUGGCUCAUCUCUUUCUUUGGUGUGGAAUGAGCCCUUUGCUGCCUUAUUAUCAGCCAUGGAUUUCUCUUGGAAUAUUAUAUGAAUAAGAUGGUUGAAAGAAAGUCUAAAUUAGUUAUUUAAAAUGAUACUAAUUUUAAUUUCAUUAAAUAAAUUUUCAGUCUUUGAUUUAGUGUGUACAAAAAAUGAAAGGGUUAUUUCAAAGAAAGAAUUGAUUUAUGUUCAAGGAUUUAUUUACAUACAACUUAAAAUUUUCAUUUUAAUGGUGAUUGCGGUUUUGGUUCAGUGUUUUUAGUUUUCUUAAAUUAUUCCUUUGAUUUUCGAUUUUCACAUGUUUUAUUUUGAUAAAUUUUGUUUUACUUUAUUGCUUAGGCUAAAGUUUUAAAUUUUUUUUAUAAAUAUUUUAAAAAAUAAAUUUUCAAGUGAAUAAAAUAUAAUGAAUAACUCUUAUAUAUUAUAGAAUUUUAAGUUUCCUUUAUUAUGUUAAAUAUUUAUUUUUAAAUCAUAAAAAAUUAAAAUUAAUUAUAAAUAAAAAUAGAAUUUAUCCAAGUUGAUAAAUGUGGUUUUUUAACUUGUUUUGAUUUUAACUUCUAAAAUGGCGCGGGGGAAGGCUAUGUUUUAUAGUAUCUUUUAGGGUAAAUUACAUUAACAGUCACUCAAUUUUGGUGUAGCUGACAAAACAAUCGCUCAGGUUUCAAUUCAAUCACUCAACUUUCGAAAAAUAACAAAACAGUCACCACUAACCAUUUUUCGUUACAGACGUAACAGAGUUACCAUUUUCCGUUACAGACUUUCAUUUUCCAUCCUCCUCUCCCAUCCCUCUCCCUCUUCCCCACCAUCCCUGUAAUGACCCAAAAUUUACAAGCAUCGAAAAAGUAUAUUAUCGGGCCUCCGUUUUAAUAAACUGAGUCAUAAAAAAAUUAAAAUUAUUUAUUUAUUUAUUUGAAGUAAUUAUGAGUUUAGUUGAGUGCUUAAUUAGGUAUUAAUUGGGUGAAUUUAGUUUAAUUAAGAGAAAUUAGGAAAAAGGACUAAAUUAAAUUAGGGAUAAAAGUUGAAUUAUAGAUUAAUAGAAAAUAAAAAGGAUUAAAAUGACAAUUAAGUCAUUAAUAAGAAACGAGGCAGCAUAAGUGAUAAAAAUCUUAGAUUUUUAUGUUUUAUAAAUAUUAUUUUAUUAUAUAUUAAAUAAACUAAAUAGAUGACAAAUGUAUGGUAAAAAUUAAAGACAAGUGUAAUAGUAAUAAUUAUAUAGGUACACUUGUAAUAAAAAUAAAUAUAUGCUUAAAUAAUAAGUAAAAGGUUUUUUUAUAAUAAUAUAUUAUUAAUAUUAUUAGUUAAAAUAAAAGAAAUAAAGUAAGUAAAUAAAACAAAAGAAGAACAGAAAAGAAACAGAGAAAGAGACGAAAAGAGGGGAAGAAAAAGGGGAAGAAAAGAAAGGGGAAAAUUUGAGAUUUUAAAGCUUCAAGUUUAAUUGGUAAGCUAAAUUUAGCCCUUUUCUCUUAAUUUUGAUGUUUUAGAAGCUUUAAAACAAAGUUUUGUUGAAAUUAAGGGGAGGUUAUGGAAGUUCAUAGGUUUUUGAACAUUUUUCAUUUUGAACAAGUUGUUAAAUUAGGGGUUUAGUUGAUAGAAUUUCUAGUUAGAAUAGAUAAAAGGAUUAAAUUGUAAACUAAGUUAUAAGUUUUACAUAGUUGGGAUUAAGUUAUAAAAAGCCUUAAAUUAGGGUUUAGUUAUGAAUAUAGAAUAGUUGAGUUAAAUAUGGCAAGAAAUUAAGUAGAAAAGAAGUAUGAAUUAAGUUAGAAAAUUAAGUAAGCUUAGUUAGAAUUAAAUUGGGAAUAAGUAGGAAUUGAAUAAAAUUUAAUUAUUAUUUUUUUAUGUUGUAAUUAAUAGUGAAAAUAAUUAUUAUUUUCGUAGCUAACAAGGAAAACGAGGCAUCGGCAUCCAAAGGAAAAGAAAAGAUCGUUGAGGAGUAAACACAUAUUCCGGGUUUGUAUUACUAUAACUUAAACUAUUUACUAAAUGCUAUAUUAAAAUUGUAAUCAUGGGACAUUUAAAGUAAGGUAAGUAAUAACAUUUGAAAUUAAGUAAGAAUAUGUGUGAAUAUUGAAUUAUAUGUGAAUUGAAAUAAUAGAUGUUUUGAAUUGUUUGAAUAUUUGAAAUUGUUGUGGAAAUGAAUUCGAAAUUGGAAAAGUAAAAUAAUACCCUAUUAACUUAUAGGACUAGAUUGGAUACAAAUGGCAUGCCAUAGGAUUUGUGAUGUGACAAGGAGAUUUGUAGUUCGGCCGAGAAGAUGAUUCUGUUAUUAUAUGCUUCGGUUUAUCCGAAGAGGCAUCUAAUGCCUUAUUGGUGUGUUUGGAGGUUAUGAUAUACUGGUGUGUUAUGGAGGAUUUAUAUUAUUCCGAAUGUGAUUAGGUUGGAUAUUCUGGUGUGUUUGGGUGGAAUCUGAGUAUCUGUCAGAGUCCGAGCCUUGUUAAUAGGGUAAAUAAUUGAAAUGAAAAUUUGAAAAUAAGAUUGGUUGAUUUGACACUAUUGAAAAAUACGAGAAAGAAUGUAUGAGUUAAAUUAUGAAUUGAAUUAGUAUGUAAUAUAUAUAUAUGAAUUUAAGAUUUGUGAAGUGAUAUAUAAAUAUGUAUAUUUAGUUUAAGUGAUUUAUAAGCUUAUGGUCGAUGUUUGAAAUUUUAUUAUUAUUAAAUAGUUUAAUUUAUAGUAAUACCACUGAGUAUGAAAUACUCAGCAUACGGUUGUUUCCGUGCUCAGGUUGUAGAAGUUAAGUACAGAACCAGCAUCCAAAACCAGACCCAACUUCAACAAAUUUUGGUGAUGUAUAUUUUCUUUUGGUAAUGUGGCAUGUACAUAGGAUGUGUAUAAAUGUUAUUAUGUUUUGAAUAUAAAUAGUUAAAAAUGUUAGUAGUAUAAGUCUAAGAAUUUUAAUGAAAGAAGUUUAUCCAUUUCAAUUUAAUUAGUACAUUGAUAAAUUUAAAUUGAUAUUAAGUUGAUUGAGUUUGAUUAGAAGGUAUUUAGAAUAGAAAAUGAGAAUGUGAAAUGAAUUGGUUGAAUUGGUUAUAUUUGGAAGUAAUAUGGUUUUAUUUGCAGGGGGUUUUAUGUAAAAAUAAGCAGAAAUGCUGUCGAAAUUUAAAAAAAAUGGAAUAUUCGAACAAGUUCUGUUUUAUAUAUAUAUAUAUAUAUAUAUAUGUUUUAGGCUUUGAGAGUCUAUUAUAUGGAUUUUGUUAUUAAAUUAUAUUACCAAUGUUAAUUUAUGUAUGAAUUAUUCAUAAGUUGUUUGAUAUGUUCGGUAAUGCCUCGUAACCUUGUUCCGGUAACGGUUUGGGGUUAGAGGGUGUUACAAUCCCUCCUCCUACUCUUAUGCUUUCCCUCCCCUCCCCUCCCCCCCCCCCCACACCGUCUCUUUGCUAACCCUCUUCCCCUACUUGAUGAAGGUAUCGAUACUUGAGGCCUAGGUAUCGAUACCUAGCCUUCAAUAUCGAUACCAACAUAAAAAACGUUACCAAAAUUACAUUUUGUUUUGGAAAUUUUAAGUUUCAAAGCCUAGAUAUAGGUAUGUUUUGAUACCUUAAGUAAAUUUUGAUAAAAAUCAGCUGAAAAUUUUGCUAAAAAUCCUUGCAAAACUUUGGAUUCUUUAUAACACUUAAAACCAUUUCAAAGUGCCUUCAAGCUAUCUAAAACAACUCCGAAUUAGCCAAAUUAUCACAGAAUCAACCACAUACGCAAGCAUGCCUAUGGCUAUCAACAAUUCAUUUUAUGUAGAAUCAAAAUACUUCAGUUUAAAAUACCAAAAUAGAUAAAGUUUAAAGAGUUUGCAUUUUAGUCCCUAACACUUUGGAACACAUUUGAACUACCUAUGUACAUGUCAUUUUAACUCAAAAUAUAGUACCUACAUUCGUUGCCUUUGAAGAUGUGAUGAGAUGAAAUGACUUCUAACUCUAAUCUAGCUCUACAAGUCUAACUGUAUCUAUCCGUUGAAAUAAACGCGUUAAGCCAGUGAAGACUUAGUAUGCACUACAGAAUAAAAAGGUAAAUGAAUCAUAACAUAAUGUUUAAUCUUAUUCGAUUAAUAUACAUACUUACACACAUACAAAUUUCUACAACUAUACUUUACUUUAACAAAAUUCAACCUACCUUUGAAAUGUAUUAAACUUACCUCAACACUCUGAUGAUUCACUUUUGUUCACAUUUCAUAUCCUUAGCCUAUAGUAGACUUUUAUAAAACAUACCAGAUAUACAGAACAAAUAAAGAGGUGCAUUAUUAUGCACUAAUGAACAGAGAGCACUAAGGUGCUAUACAAAUAGCAUAAAUGUGCUAAACGGAGAGCAUUAAUGUGCUAAACUGAGAGCACUAAUGUGCUAAUAAUCAGAGAGCACGCUAAGGUCCCUUAAUGGCAUGCCACUAAUAUCCUAGUAGUUUUUCAUUCUGUCUACUUGGGCAUUAAAACCGGAUUUAGUACAAUUUCUCAUAAUAAAUAUAUGUCUUGAAAAAUAUUCCAUAUUUUUCCUAUUUCACAAUUUAGUCUUUAAUAAAUAAGUCACAUGUAUAACAUCUUUUUCAUACAUAUAUUUCUUUCACAACAUUAUUACUUAGUAUUCAAAAAAAUAUACUGUUUCAUAUUCUUCCUCUAUAAUUCUAUUUAUAAAUCUCAUGAUUUCAUAAUUUAACCCUUUAUUUAAUAUCUAUUUAUAAAUAUAUAUAAUUAACAUUUCUAUCCUAAGAAAUUUCAUAUUAGCAUUUAAAUAAAAUAAAUUAAAAUUUUAUAGUACUUACAAAAAAAUGAUUGAGAUGAUGUAUUUUAUUUUCUUCUCACUCAAUGGCCUUCUCUUUCCCUUUUUCUUCAACUUGAUCAUUUCCUUCUUUUCUUUCUCUUCAAUUUCAUAUAAAACAUAUAUCAUUUAUAAGUUAAAACUAAAAUCAUAUAACUUUUCUAUGUUAGUUAAUGAAAAUAAACAUGUAUGACAUGAUAAUUUCAUCAUCAUCUCUUACCUUAAUUAACUCUUUGAAAACCCAAAACCCUAAUGUUGACACCAUUUUUUUUGAUAAAAAUAGGGUCGACUUGGAUUUUAAAAAUGAAAACGAAAAUGGGAGUCGCCACCAAUCCUUUUUGAUGAGGUGUGAUCGGAUCACCUUAAAAAGUGGUUAUUUUUAAUAAACGAUUUGAUUUUAUUUAAAACAACGAUUUUGGUCUACGAAAUUCAGAAAAAUAGAUUCGGGAGUCGGCUACGUACGAGGAAGGAUUAGCACCCUCGUAACGCCCAAAAAUUGGUACCUAGUUGAUUAAUUAGUGUCUUAGUGUCGAAGAUUGAAAACUUUGAAGGAUUUUAAAAAUGCGAUCCUUUAUUGAAAUGUUGAAAAUUUUCGAGAAAAUGGCAUAUUUCACGUUAAUCGAGGAAAAUAAUUAUAGCCAGUAAGUUAGGACACAAUAUCUUGAAUUUUCGAUGCGCGAAUGGAUGCCAAAAAUUACUUAUUCAAAAGAUAUUUAGCUAUCUCAGAUAUAAAAAAGAGAUCAUACCCAGUAAAUUAGGACACGAUCUUUUCUUACUUCCCGAGAUCUUUUAAAACUUGAGAAAAAGAGAUCAUGCCCAAUAAGUUAGGACACAAUCUCUUCUUAAUUCUCGAGAUCGUUUAAAACUUGAGUUUGAAAAGAUUAGUGUAUUUAGAUUUAUUGUGAAAAUCGAAACCCAGUAAGUUAGGGUAUGACCUUCUCAAAUCUAAAUACAAGAUUUUGCUUGUUUUAAAAAAUUUCUUUUUAUACAUUGCGUAGAAAGGUCAAAUAUGUUUAAACAUAGUGUAUGAUACAAUGAUAAUGAAAUAGUGUGAAAUGGCUAUGUGGGUAGAGUAAUACAUAAAGGAAUAUUAUAAUAUUUACAAUGUAACUAUAAUAAUAAUGUACCAAAUAAUAAUAGCGAUAAUCAUAUUAAUUACUAUAGCAUGAAAAUACGAAUAAAUGAAAUAAUACACAUAAUGACAAUACUUACACCACACACCAAAUACAAAUAUUAAUAACCAAAGAAGACGAAAUAUAAUAGAACAUAAAACAAUUUAAAGAAAAUAAUAAUUCGAAAUAAAUUAUAUAUAAGGACAAUUCAAAAUAAAUAAAAGAGGGUUCCAAAUAAGCAUAAUAUAUAUAAAAAAAACUAAAAAAAGCAAUAAAACACUUUAAAAUAAAUAAUAUAUAAAAAAAUAACACAUGAAACAGUUUUUUUAAAGAAAAUAUAUAUAUACAUAAAAAUUUGAAAGAUAUAUAUACACAAAUUUACAAUAAAUAAUAUAUAAAAGAAAUUUAAAUAAAUUAUACAUAAAACAGUUCAAGUAAAUAAUAAAUAUAACAACUUAAAACAAAUGAUGAUAAAAGAGCACUUUUUAAUAAAUAGAUAAAUUAAAUGGACUGAUGAUGAAAUUGAAAUGGAAUUUAAAAUUCGGGGUAUAAAUUAAAAAUCAUAAAAAUAGUAAAAACAAAGAUAAAGGGCUAAAAUAAAUGAGAAAAUGAAGUAAGGGGACCAAAAAAGAAAUUAUCCCAAACCACCUAAACGCGUAGUUUCGCGCGGGAUUAAAAUGAAACAGAAAUAAAAUUAUGUGGACAAAUUAAAAUAAAAGAAAAGAAAGCAAAAGGGACCAAAUUGCAAUAGUCUGAAAAUUCAAAAGGACCGAAUGCGCAAAUAACCCAUGUGCUAGAAAACAGGCGGAUCCUAGCCUCGUGGGUCGGGUUAUCGGGUCAGAUUCUGGUUAUUGUUGAAACGACGCCGUUUUGGUGACUGGAAAUAAAACCCAAAACGACGCCGUUUUGGUAUGCUAUAAAGGCAGAAUUUUUUUUAAAAGGCCAUUUGCUUCUCUUUUAAAAAAAUAAAAAAAUAAAAGCUUUCUCUUCAUUUUCUCUCUGGGCAUUGCCCAAGAUCCGGCCAUGGGGCCACCAUCCGUCCGUCAUGGCCGUCGGCCGGCGACAGCGGUGACCGCCAUAUAUGGCUAUCGGAGUCCUAAAAAAAGAACCCAUUUUGAUCCAAUCGACCUCCCCAUGCUCGUUUUGAAGCUGCAAUCUUCAAAAGACAAACGAAAGUACCUGAACGAGCCAGUGACCCCCCAAAUUCCGGCCUCGCUGUUAACGGCCGAUUUUGGCGACAGAGGGAGGACCCCCCAACGACAUGGCCGUGGCACAUUUCAGGUACGCUUCUCUCUUUUCGUUUUUUAUUUUAGUACAAAAACGAAAAUAAAAGAGAUAAAAAAUAAAAAGAGAUAAAAAUAAUAAAAUGAAAACAAGAACCGAAAAAAAGCUUUUCCUUUCAAAAUUUUCUCUGCUUUUCUUGUUUUUUUUAUUUAGAUGUUCGUAAACGGAAGAAGAACUACAAUCGUCUGAUUUUCGGCUUUUAUAGCCGAUUUACAGCCUUUUAGUUUCUUUUUUUUUUGUCACUUUGCUAUUUGGCUUUUCUGCUGCUGCGUGUGGCUUCGUUUUGCAGGUGACAGAGCAGUGUCAGACGCGUGAAGGAGGUGGCGUGUGGCAUGCGACGCUGGGCAGAAGCAGGAGCGGCGGCCAGCAGCAGCUAGGGUUCUCUGCUGCUGAAAUUUUAAUUUCCUAGGCUAGGGUUUUUUUAUUUUUGGGCCUGUUGGGUGUUCGUUUUGGAUAUUGGGUUUUUGUGUGUUGGGCCCGGGCAGAUUUUGGGCUUUACACCUAACUUUUGUUUUUUUUCUUUUAACACAUUUAUGGAAGUUUUCUCAUGAGACUAAGGGCUAGUUUGGAUGGGCGGUGUGUUUACCUCCGGUGAGGUUAAAAACAGCGGUGGUGGUGAGAUUAGGUACUGUAGCGUUGAGAUUGGAUACUGUAGCAGUGAGAUUAGAAACAGCGGUGGAGUGUGUGUUUGGAUUCAAACGCAGCUGUAGCGGUGAGGUGAAAAUAGAAAAUGACUUUUAAGGAUAUUAGAUUAAAAAUGAUAUAUAAUAGAAGUUUUUAAAAUUAUUUAACAAUUACAAAAUUAAUAAAUGAUUAAAAAUUAUUAUUAAAUAUAAUUUAAUAAAAAUAUAUAAUUUAAUAAAAUAUAUGAAUUUACUAAAAUUAUAAUAUAUAAUAUUAUAAAAUAUAAUUUAAAAUAAUUAUUAUUAAAUAUAAUUUAACAAAAAUAUAUAAUUUAAUAAAAUUCUUAGUAUUAAAUAUUCUUAUAUGAAUUUACUAAAAUCAUAAUAUAUAAUACUAUAAAAUAUAAUUUUAAAUAAUUAUUAUUAAAUAUAAUUUAACAAAAAUAUAUAAUUUAAUAAAAUUCUUAGUAUUAAAUAUUCUUAUGAUUGUAUCAACAAACUUCAUCAAUUUCUUCUAUCAAAUAUUAAAAUAUUUGAACUUGACUUUGAAUAUUGAUUUUAUGAUUGUUACUUUACCAUCAGCAACCCAAGUUCAAUUUACUUAACAACAUAAUGAAUUAGGGUUUUUCUUCAUAUUCUCAAUUAUGUAUUCCAUUUCCGACCGUAAAGCACCUUUCAACUCAUCUCAUCAGUGAUUUUUUGUCCAUUGACAAAUUAGGAUUCUAUUGUUUGUGCAUCAACAAUUUCGAAUUCUAAAAUUUAGAACGUAAAUUUUAUUUUCUCAAUUUCAAUUUUGUUUCUAGAUUUGAAUUGCAGCAAUUUUGGUCUUCAAUGUUGUUUUCUUCUUUCAUUUUAACUUCUUCUUUUUUGUUAUAUUUUCUGAUGCAUUUUUUAUGAUUAAACUUUUAGACAUGUUUUGUAACACCCCUUACCCGUAUCCAACACCGGAAUAGGGUACGAGGCAUUACCAAAACACAUACACUUGUAAACGUAUUUAACCGAGUUAUAAAAUUUCAUCAAAAUUAAAACUUUCAAAAAUAAUUAACAUGUUUCUAUAACUUUUCACAAUAUAUCCUCAAAAUAUUAUAAUCAUAAUAAUUAGGGCCUGCGAGACCCGAUACAUACUCAUGCAAUUUAAUGCUUCAUUUCCAUUUCAUUCAAUUCGCAAUUUCUCAUGCUCAUAAUUUAAAUCAUAUCACUAGAAAUUUCCAUUUAAUUCACGUACAAUUCAAUGACAUCAAAUUCAAAACUAAUACGUAUUUACCAUUUAACUCAAUGUUUAUUGAUUAUACCAUUCAAUAACACAUUUAUGAAAUUCUCAAUUUAGCAAUGAAAAUAUCACUUUAGUUUGAAUAACAACAUCGUCCUGAUAUAAAUACACUACCACUUAUCCAUUUACUUUAAUUCUUUUGGGCCCAUUUGUCACUUACCAUCCUUAAUCAAAUUAGGGAACGGUCACGGAAAAUUGAGUACUUCACUUUCACUUUGCCAUAGUAUAACUAUGGUCUUACGUAUGAUCACUUAUCACUUGUCCCUGAUCAGAUAAGUGUAGCCACCUAUCACUUUGUUUCUUGAUCAGAUAAGUGUAGCCACUUAUCACUUUGUUUCUUGAUCAGAUAAGUGUAGCCACUUAUCACUUUGUCACUUGAUCAGAUAAGUGUAGCUAAAGCUAUCACUUACCACUUUGUCUCUUGAUCAGAUAAGUAUAGCCGAAGCUAUCACUUAUCACUUUUCACUUAUCACUUGAUCAGAUAAGUGUAGUCGAAGCUAUCACUUAUCACUUUCCACUUGUCACUUGAUCAGAUAAGUGUAGCUGAAGCUAUCACUUAUCACUUUGUCACUUGAUCAGAUAAGUAUAGCCGAAGCUAUCACUUAUCACUUUAUCACUUGAUCAGAAGUACUCAAAUCCGGCGUUCCGCUCAAUUUGAUCAUUUAUUCAUAUAUCAGGCUUACCAACAUGUAUUAAUUCAUAAACCAUUCAUGGUAUUAUUUCAUGCCAAAUCAUAUACUGAAUAUACCAUACACACAUACUAUGAAACUUUAUUUUCACACAUGAGCUUAAACCAUGACCAAUAAUGCACAAAAAUAAGCAUCAUUCAUAUUUCAUCGUUUAUGAGUUAUAAUCAAACAUAUGACCAUUUAUACACGAAUCAUUCAUAUAUUUCCCAAUUUUCCUCCUCCUCCUCUCCAUUCCACAUCCUUAAUGUGUAUAACACACUUAAACAACAUUAACCAUAAUUUCAAUAUUCACCAACAUGUAUAUUCAAAGCUGUUUAUCCGAGUCAGAGUCACUAAAUUAUUUUUAUCCGGAGCUACAGAGCUCCAAAUUAAGAUCCGUUAAUUUUCCCUGAAACUAGACUCACAUAUCUUCAUACCAUAAAAUUUUCAUAAUUUUUGCUUCAGCCAAAUAGUACAGUUUAUUCUUUAAAGUUUCCCCUGUUUCGCUGUCUGACAGUUCCGACCACUCUUCACUAAAAAUUAAUUAUCUCAUUGUACAGAAUUCGGAUGAUGUUUUAGCUUGUUUCUUCUAAAAAUAGACUCAUUAAGGAUUCUAACCAUAUAAACUAUAACUCAUAAUAAUUUCUGUACAAUUUUUAAUGAUUUUCCAAAGUCAGAACAGGGGAACCCGAAUUCAUUCUGACCUUGUCUCACAAAAUCUAUUAUAUCUCAUGAUUUACAAUUCCAUUGCUCACAUAAUUUCUUUUAUAAGAAACUAGACUCAAUAAGCUUUAAUUUCAUAUUUUAUUCAUCCUCUAAUUCAAUCUCUACAAUUUUUGGUGAUUUUUCAAAGUUACACUACUGCUGCUGUCCAAAACUGCUUUAGUGCAAAAUGUUGAUUUCCAUUUUGCCCCAAAUUUCACAGUUUAUACAAUUCGGUCCUUUCUCAAUUAACCCCUCAAUUAAUCUAAUUUUCUCAAUUAGUACUUUACUAGACAUUAUAAGUUGUUACACAACUAUUGAAAUUCAGAAUUUCCACAUAUAACUCUAUCUUCAAACUCUUUUACUAUUAGGUCCCAAACAUUCACUUUCUAUUCAAUUCUUUCAAUAAAAUCAGCAUAUGAACAAUUUAAAGCUCUAAUUUCAUGCUAAAUCAUCAUAUACUUCCAGCAAAUAUUCAUAUCAACUUUCAACUUCUUUCAUAAAAUCAAAAACUAAUGAAUUUAACAAGUGGGCCUAGUUGUAAAAGUCAUAAAAAUACAAAAAUUUCAAGAAAUAGUCAAGAAUUGAACUUACUUGUAAUAAAAAUAUGAAGAACCAGCUUGAAGAAGCCCUUCCAUGGUGUUUUAGCUGAUGAGAAUUCAGAAAAAUGAAGAGAAAUCUAGAUAAUUCCACUUGGGUCCUAACUUUAUUAAGCAAAUUUUGCAAUUUUCCAAUUUUGCCCUUAAUUCUCCUUACUUUCUUGCUGAUUUCAUGCCUCUGCCGUCCAGCCCAAAUAGACCUUGGGUCUAUUUGCUUUUUAAGCCCUCUUCCUUUUAUCAUUUAAGCUAUUUAAUCAUUUCCCAAAAUUUUGCAUUUGUUACAAUUUAGUCCUUUUUGUUCAAUUAAUUAUCGGAACUUUAAAAUUUCUUAACGAAACUUUAAUACUAACUUUUUAACACUCCAUAAAUAUUUAUAAAAAUAUUUAUGGCUCAGUUUAAAAUCCCCGAGGUCUUGAUACCUCAUUUCGAUUCUAAUUAUUUUAAUAUUUAUUUCUAGUGCACUAUUCACUAUUUCAAAAAUUUUCCUAACUUCAUAUUUAACUUAUACUUACUAAAUUAAUAAUAUUUUCUACCCAUUUGUUGAAUUUAGUGAUCUCGAAUCACCGUUCCGACACCUCUGAAAAUUCAAGCCAUUACAUUUUUUUUUCGUCGGAUUUGUGGUCCCGAAACCACUGUUCCGACUAAGCCUAAAAUCGGGCUAUUACAUGUUUAUUUUCAAUUUUUUCCAUGAGCAUUUAGAUAAAAAAAAUAUUAAAACUAUUCAAAAGUUACUUGUUUGCUUCAAAACGAAGCAUAUAAGGACUAAAUUGCUCAUUUUUAUAUUAGAGGACCCAAUUUGCUCUUGAAUUUCUAAUAGUUUAACCAACAAAAAUCUUACAUGACCUAACAAAAAACCUCUCCAACUAAAUUGCACGCAUAACUUGUUUAGCAAGGUUCAUUUUGUCUAAAGAUUGAACAGACUUGGAUUAACAAUUUAUAUAGAUAAAAUGUACUCUUAUUGUAAUCGACUUGGACAAAUAUGAAUGGUGGUCAUCUUUUAUAAAUACAAAUUUGUCAUCAUACAGGUUUAAAAGAAAGUAAAAAAAAAAAGCUGAUCAUUUCAUCAUUCAAUUUUAAACAUUUAAGAAAGGUAUAGGUUUUCUGUCUAGCCAUGAUUCUAUUUUCUCAAAGCACUUGACAGGUACCACCCCAUCAAAACCUUAAGUCAAUAUCACUUUAUUGUCUGAAAUGUAAAGCUUCAUGCCUUCUGCAGUCAUCAAGAAAACAAGCGAAGACAACUUAAGAACCGUAGUUUGGCAAGAACAAAUCAAUAUAUGUUCGGCCACGACUCUAAAGAAAAGUGAGAAAGAUGACUUGCUUCUUUCAUGAUUCUAUGAACCGAAGCAAUAACUGCAAGCAUGCUUACAUUCCAAAACUUUUCUAACAUCAAGAUAGAUCAAAACGUUAACAUCUCGUCUCAUACCUGAAGAGGGUAAAAGAUACAAAUCAUCAUAAGCCCUCUACAGCAUUUAGAUUCACUAAAACUCAAUUUAUGUCAAUUAGUGCUUGUCAUUUCCCAUUAUCGCUUAAAAUUCACGUUUUAUAUCGGCACCUUAGUAAUCCCCUUUCAUAAUCUUUAGCAUGAAUCCUAUGGUGAAAUGCAGAUAACAAGCAUAACAACACCCCUAAGCAGUUUGUCACGUAUACAGUGCUGGCAUAUUAAAAAUAGAGAGUAAAAUGAAGGAGUUCGUAUAUCAAAGUUCAGAGGAACAGUAAAGAGAAAUUUCAUGAUAUCUCACCACUUAUCACUUCACCGUCAGUCGGCAAGCCACUUGAGAAGUGAACAUGCAAUCUUUUCAUGCGCUUCAAACCCGACUCCAAAAUUGAUUCCAAAUUCCUUUUAUAGGUUCCAUGUACGCAAACUAUCAUCUCAGGGAAAAUCAAGAGGAUUAUGCAAAAUAAAAGGCAUAAAGAAAGUCCAUAAAUCUAAGAGACAUGAUGUUCUUACAUUGCACUUCAUCAGCUGAAAGUAUUUGUUUUAAUAAUCUUUCGGACUCAACUGUCUGCCAACGUGACAUACAAUAUCUUCCUUAGAAGUGCAUAGACAUAAAUAAAGAUGCUCAAGACAACAGCUAAAAAUAAUCUAAGGUGACAAUUCAGAUAAAGCAUGAAGAAAUUAAUAAAUUUUUAAGAAAGAUUCAUCACCAUGACGGUAUGACCUUGGUUUGCACGUAUCAGAAGCUCCCCAUUUUCCUCAAGAAGGCUAAACCGUUGUUUAUUAUCUUUUCUGACAGCCUACAAUCAAUAAACAUAAAAACCAUGAAAUUUCUUUUGGCUGCAAAACGAACAUUUUCCUUCUCAUGAUUGUUUAUACACCAACAUUUUGGAGACUAAGAAUCUAAAUCACUUAUAAGUAAACAACAAAUAGUAUUUAGCUCAAAGAAGGAAAAUGUUUAUACAUCAAUAGCUCAAAGAACAUUUCUGAGGCAGUACAUGAACUGUCCUCUUUCUCCUCCCGCGUUCAGCACAACUCAUCUGCUUCUUCCCUGCAUUAGUAAACUGAUCACUUAAUUUGCUUAUAUAAAAUUCAACAUGCAAAUACAUGGAUUUAGCAGCACUAAAAGGAAUAGAAUUAUGGAAGAAGAAAACAACAAUUUUUUUGUCGGCAUCAUCCAGCUUUUGGUUUUGAGCACCGUCAGCUGCUGACUGCUCACUAGGCGAUGGAUACACUGGAAAAUCAUUACCGAACAUAAUAUUAAGUUGCUACCAACUAUGAAUUCAGUCAAUUGAUACAACAGUAAGUCCACAUCUUCAUCAACAAAACAACUGCACAAUAUAUUUGCUACUUAAAGAGAUUUAUGUGCUUCACCUCAUUUCUUUCCCAUUAUUUACAUUUUAGAAAAGAUUUCCAUUCAUUUCCUCGGCAGGGGUUUCAUUAACAUUGUCUUUUACAAAAACUAGAAGUUUUUCAUAAGAAUUUCACGACACUACUUAUUAAUGUAUUAGAUGCUCAAAGAAAGAAAUUGCAUCAGUUGCUAGUUUCAACUGCCUAAAACCUCAUUAGCACAUUCAUCAUAAGAAGCCUUCUUUUCUGGAAAGAUUACUGAAUGCAAAACAAUGAUAUGAAUUUAUCUGUAGGACUACUUUUGAAAUUUAACCAAAUAACAGAAGGGUCAUUAAAAUAAAAUAAAAAUUUUAGCAAAAAUAGACCCUUUGGUUGCGUCCUCUAAGGUAUACAACAGUUUCAUGGCAUCGGUGUUUCUCAAUUCACCAGCAAUAGUUGAAAUCUGCAAAAGGAGAAAUGCAUGUUAACCCGUAAACAGUCACCACCAUCACCUUGACCAAACUGAUUUGCAAACCAAGGGAAAGGGAAAAGGGAAGGGGAAGGGGAAAGGGGAGAAGAAGGGUAACCAAAUAUCAGAAGAAACAAAAGGGGAAAAGAAACAAAAGAAAUAAUAUGGGUAAAAGAGGAAAAGAAAAAGCAACUGGAGUUGCUAAAUUUUUACCGGACCAACAAUCUCCAGUUGAUUUGGGGCUGACCAACGUGGUGGAGGCUGCUUCUCACCGCACUGGCAUGCUGAACCAAAGGGCUGACCAGUGAGGUUGCUGCCAUUUCCCCCCCCCAACCGCACCUCACUGGUAUGCAAUGACAAACCAAAGGAGCCCUAAGAUGCUCACUACCCUUCUUUACAGUGGUAGAGCCAAGGAGGGAUUGGCAAGGGCCUUGGCCCCCCUAAGAUGGAAAAUUGUUCAUUUAAGCUAUUUAUAAUUUAUAAAAUUUUAAAUUAGUAAUGGUAAAAACGUACAUUGGCCCCCAAAAUGAUAAAAUUUUGAUUUAAUUCUUUAAAAAUUAUAAAGAUAUAAACUAUUAAAAUAGUGAAAUUACAUUUUCACUAUCAUAAAAAUAUACAAUUUAAUUCCGAACCCUCCCCUAAAUUUUCUAGCCCCGCCGCUGCUUCUUUAUAGUUUUUACUAAAGAAAUUUCAAAAAAAAAAGAAAGAAAGGUUUUGAGCUUAAUUGGUUCAAGAAUGGAGGAAGGAUACAAAGGGAAAUAAAAGAAAAGUUUGAUGGAAACUUGGGGGGUGAGUAACGGUGAGUUUGGCGAAAAGAUGACAACUUUUCAUUUUUUCUCGCACUUUUUACACCAUUUCAUAAAAAUAUCUCAUUUUUUUGUAUUAAAAAAGGUCAAAUUGCUAAUAGGUCCUUAAGUCAUCCAUCUUUUCACUUUAGCCCUAAUCAUUGUCUAAAAAUAUCUACUUGGCUAAUUAUCAUCUUAUCAUUUUUUACCUUUUAUAAUUCUUAGGAUGACUCAUAUUUCACCCUGGUUAAAUUUAUUCUUAAUCCUUCCUUCCUUUUCACCACUACUAUGUAUCUCCUAACUUUUUAUUUUCCCUUAUUUGGUCACAACAAAUUCUCUAUUCUUUCAAUUAAAUCAAUACUUCUAUUUAAAAUUUUCCUAUCUAAGGAGCAUUUUCUAAUCUCCUACCGGGUCUAAAUACUUCCUAAUUAGAUACUCAAAAUUCCUAUUUGUUCUAUUUCAAAAAUUUUGCACUAAUUCCUGAUUCGAUCCAUCACUGUAUCUAACUCUGAGUUAAAAUGUGAAUGUUCCGUAGGCCCUUUAAAAUUUUUAAAAAUUUAAAUUAGUAAAAGUAGAAUUGCACUUUGUCCUCCCUAAAAACAUAAAAAUUUGAUUUAAUCCUUUAAAAAUUAUAAAGAUAUAAACUAUUAAAAUAGUGAAAUUAUAUUUUUACCAUCAUAAAAAUUACAAUUUAAUUUCGGCCCCUAAUUUUUUUUUGAUUUCGCCCCUAUCGGUCGGUAAAUAAAUAUUUGUCUCAUAACCACUAUUCUAUAAUUUAUGUAUAAUCUUGCUAGGGGUGUGCAUAAUUCGGGUAAAACCGAAAAAAUUCGGUUAAUCUGUCGAUUAACCAAAUUUUUUCGGUCAGGGGUCAGUUAAUUUUUUUUAUGAUUUUUUGGUUAAUGGUUAAUUCAGUCCGAAACCGGUCGGUUAACCGAAUUUUUUCGGUUAACCGAAAAAAAUAAUAAAUAAAAUUAUUCAACCCAACCCAAUUACCCAACCCAAUAAAACUAAAACUAAAGUCUACCCAAUUAUCAACUCAAUAAAAAUAAAACUAAAGUUUAACUCUUAAGUAUCUACCCAAUUACACAUGUUUUUUUUUUAGGUUUAAUGCAAAUGAAGAUUUUUUGGAGAGAAGAAAUGUAUAUAAAUGCAGAAUAUUAAAGACUUACAUUUCAACUAUGUGCUAAUUUCAAGAAUUAUAUAAUGUUUUUAAUUAUGUAAUGGUUCAAAUACUUAUGUAAUAUUUUUAAUUAUGUAGUGAUUCAAUUCGGGUAAUUCAGUUAAUUUUUAACCAAAAAUAAAAACCAUAUAAUUUUUGGUUAAUUCGGUUAACCGACCUAAUUAACUGAAAAAAUUUCAGUUCGAUUAACGGUUAAAAAUUUUAAAAGGUCGGUUAAUUCGGUUAUAGCUAUUUCAGAUCGGUUAACCGAAUGCACACCCUAAAUCUUGCUACUACCGUUUGGAGUUGGUUAAUAGGAUUAUAAACUAAUUUAGGUAUCUUGGUUAUAAAUGGAAACUAAUGGUUUUGAUAACAGUCCAAUUAUCUUGGAGAUUUUAUCCCAAAUCGUCAUGGCUAAAUCAUCCGAAAAACUUUAAUUAAAUAUUAAAAAAGAAAAUCAAAUUAUUGGCGUCAUCGCUUAUGUUUGCAUUUUGUUAGGUUCAAUUUCCCAUUCCCAUCCCAUAUCGAUGUGUAACUUAAAUAUGUGAAGAGAAACGAGUGGCUCGUGGAGUAGUGGCUGAAGGGUGAGUAGCGGUAAACUCAGAACGCUUUGGUACGCUUUGUUUUGUUUUGUUUUGUUUGUUUGUUUGAUCGUCCCUAUUUAUUUCCUGGUUUUCUGAAGAUUUGCAGCAAAUUUUGUUUUCCUUCUUUGGGUUUUCUUUUUCAUUUGGAUUGCUUUCAUGUAUGGAUUUGGUAGUUGCCCUUAUCUGUAUUUCCUCCCCCAAAUUGCACUUACUCGUAAUUUGCUGAAAUCCCCGGUGGAAUUUUCCAGUUUGGGUGGUUGAUUUCGUUUUCAUUAGUAGUAUACACACAGGCAUACUGAUUCAAAAAUAUUGCUUUCAAAAUUGUUCCUCAGAACUAUCAAAAUAAACUGGGUGAAGAUGAAUAGUUAUCAACUGACUAUUUUAAAAAUCUUUUAUUGCAAUGUCCUGUUGCCAAAAACUAUGUUGCUUCUGUACUUAGAUAUUAAGGUCGGAUACAUGUAUAUAUCUGGUACGAAUGAUUACAUCACGGGUACUGGUGACUACAGCAUAAUCUUAUUAACUUGCUGAUAAUUCAUCCCCUCUCCCAUAGAACUAACUCUCGUCUUAUUACAUUUACUUUUUAGUUCAAAUACGUGAAAUAUAUAGUUAGCUUUGAAGAGAUUGUAUGGUUUGACUCUAGUUGUUGAAAUGACAGGGAAAUGGCAAGUAAUAAUCCGGGAUGGUUAGUUUUGGUUGGGAUUUUGGUGACGUUAAGUUUACCAUAUUCACAUGCCUUUUGGGGAAAUGAAAAUAAGAUACAUACUGCUGUUUUCUUGUCACCCAAGUUCGUGCUCGGACCAGGAUCCGUGGAAAAUAGGUUCUAUUUCAAUGUCGACUUUCCGAAAGGUCAUAUUGCCUUGAAAAGUUUCGAUGCAGAAGUAAUUGAUGAGGCCGGGAAUCCUGUUCCACUGCACGAGACGUACCUGCAUCAUUGGGUUGUUGUUAGAUACUAUGUACGUAAAGGCGUGGAAAUAUCGAAGUUGGAUGACCUUAAAAAGGUUAACAGGUCGGACUAUAUUUCUGGGGGAAACAGUGGGAUUUGUCAGAAUGGAAUUCUUAGUCAGUUCUUUGGCCUCGGGUCUGAGACACGGAAAACUUCAACUCAUAUUCCCGAUCCAUAUGGAAUAGAAGUCGGUAAUCCUGCUGAAGUUCCUUCAGGGUUUGAGGAGCAAUGGAUGCUUAAUGUUCAUGCAAUUGAUACAAGGGGUGCGGAAGACAAGUUGGGAUGUACAGAAUGUCGUUGUGAUCUGUAUAAUGUUACGGUCGAUGAAUAUGGAAGACCUUUGAGGCCAUACUAUAAAGGAGGAUUGUUAUGUUGUUACGAUCGUACCCAAUGCAAGGUGAAACAUGGGUUUGAGGCUGUUAGAAGAACCCUUUACCUUAGAUACACUGUGAAGUGGAUUGAUAUGGAUAGGUUCGUCUUGCCUGUUAAAAUUUAUAUAUUUGAUAUCACUGAUAGUUGGAAAAGGACCCCUAGUUCAACUGAGAUUAAUGCAGAGCACAAGUGCAAGGUAGAUGAACUAUCUCGUUUAUGUGCUGCAACACCAUUUCUGUUUUGUCAAAUAAAAUUUCUUGUGAAAUAUCAUCAUUGAAUACAUUUGAUGCAGAUUGAAUAUGAUAUUGAAUCUUGUGAUGCCACUGGAUUGGGCAAUGAUGGAUGCAUCGACACCAAAAGGAUAAGCCUUGACAUGCUGUUUGGUGGUUAUCUCAUAUACGGUGUUGCACACCAACAUUCAGGUGGCACUGGUUCUGCUCUCUAUAGAGAGGUAUUGAAAUGUCUUAUUUCUGCGCAUCACUUUUAUACCAUUAUAUAAUGUAUAUGUAUAUGUAUGUAUGCAUACAUGCGAUCUGAUGAUGACGAAAAAGUGUCUGUUUGAUUUUGGUGAAUUUGAGGAUGGCCAACUUAUGUGUUCUUCAUUACCGACUUAUGGGAAAGGAGAAGAACCGGGAAAUGAAGCUGGUUACAUUGUAGGAAUGACCACCUGCUAUCCUAAACCCGGAACUGUGGAGAUAUCUGAAGGGGAGACUUUGAUUUUGGAGUUCAAUUACAGUAGAAUCAGACAUCAUACUGGUGUCAUGGGGCUGUUCUACGUUUUGGUUGCGGAUGACUUGCCCAAGCCAAUGCAUACCU